Molecule: ribosomal RNA, 1272 nt
Filed under: Maccaffertium mediopunctatum
Lineage: Eukaryota; Metazoa; Arthropoda; Insecta; Ephemeroptera; Heptageniidae
Description: 16S ribosomal RNA
Rfam family: Bacterial large subunit ribosomal RNA
Source: RNAcentral
GAUAGUUCCCUAGCAAACGUUAUGAGUAAUUAGAAUUUUGUAGGCAAACCAAUUUUGUAGGAUGAUGUUUAUUAGAGGGUAUCGGAUAAAUAGAGAAAGCGAUAGGAGAAGUACUGAGAAGGAAAGGUGAGAUAGCGUGGUAUUGAUAAAAGUAGACAAAGUGUCGUACCUUUUGUAUCAGGGUUCAUCAAUUAGAUUAGAGGAUUCUUUCAUCUCGAUACAAAGAGAGCUAUAAAAGUAAAUCAGUUACUGUGGCAACAUUAUUGACCAUACUUUUAUAGGAAUGAAACAUUAGCCGAUCUUUGUGGUAUCUAGUUUCUUAAGAAAUGGAUUUAAUCCAGGGGCCACGAGAAGGUGGGGCAAUGGCACCCACCUUUAAAUGGCCACCAAAUUGAAGGGGGAUAAGCUCCUUCAAGAUUUAUAGCACUUAACUUGAUGAGAAUAGGUAGGCUUGAAAGUAGCCACCCCUUUAAAGAUGUUACAGUUUAUUCUCUAAGGAUUGAAUUUUAAGGAGCUUAGAGAAAUAUUAAGAAAAUACUUUUAACUGGAAAGUAAGAGAUAAUGAUGGAAUAAGUAAUAGUUUCAGGAAAUAAAUUCCCAAUAAGGAACUCGGCAAAUUUAAUGCUCGCCUGUUUAUCAAAAACACCGCCUCUCGAUAUUUAUGGGAGGUCUAGCCUGCCCACUGAAGGAUAUAAAGGGCCGCGGUAUUUUGACCGUGCAAAGGUAGCAUAAUCAUUAGUCUUCUAAUUAAAGGCUGGAAUGAAUGGCUGGACGAGGUAUUAGCUGUCUCUUAGGGAUAAAUUUGAAUUUAACCUUCUAGUGAAAAGGCUGGAAUGAAAUUGGAGGACGAGAAGACCCUAUAGAGCUUUACACUUUCCUGUAUCUCAAUUCGUUUAGUAGGAGUCAAAUUUUGUGGAGGGAGUGUUUCGUUGGGGUGACGAGAAGAUAGGAUAAACUCUUCUUUAAACAAACCACAGAUGAGUGAUUUAAUUGAUCCAUUUUUAAUGAUUAAAAGACUAAGUUACCUUAGGGAUAACAGCGUAAUCUUUUUUGAGAGUUCUAAUCGACAAGAAGGGUUGCGACCUCGAUGUUGGACUAAGGAUUAUUCUUGGGUGCAGAAGUUCAAGGUUUAGGUCUGUUCGACCUUUGAAUCCUUACAUGAUCUGAGUUCAGACCGGCGUAAGCCAGGUCGGUUUCUAUCCUCAAUUACAGGAAAUAUUUUAGUACGAAAGGACCAAAUAUUAGAGAUAAUCUCGAGUUGAGAAUACUAUU